Molecule: long non-coding RNA, 452 nt
Organism: Panicum virgatum (switchgrass)
Lineage: Eukaryota; Viridiplantae; Streptophyta; Magnoliopsida; Poales; Poaceae
Exons: 3
Source: RefSeq, a predicted model, not a curated record
AGAUUGGCGGCGCCGCCAUGCCGCAGGGUCCUCGCAAAGACGAGACGACCGGCCAAGCGCUGCGUCGCGGAGACUGUCGCGGCCCGGAAGCGCACCCGCCAGCUGCUCGGCACCGCGUCUGCGUCCCACUUGCUGGAGGCAGAGGCCAGGAACGCCAAGAUGAGGCCCCCCACGCAUGUCCAGCCGCCGUCCAAGAAGAAGACCCUGAAGAGCAGCGACUCUAACAGAGACAGGGAUAAGCAGCUCAAGCUCACAAUGCCAUGCAGCUGCCGCUGCAGCAGACACCUCGACACCAUUCGCCACGCCAUCAUCCCAGGAUAACAAGAAGGCUAUGAAACAGGAGGCGCAAGUUACAUGCGUAUGAGAGUAUGAAGGAAUCUCUCUUCAAAUCAGCUGCUGAUAAUGCCAAACUGAAUUCUGGACACAUGCCACCCAGCUCUGUUAGGAAGUAU